GCUGCGCACCAAAGACCACAAAUAUUUACCCAUACCUAAUAAGACAACAAUUGCACGAUAUCCACAAUUAUCGUCAGCUUUGACAUCAACAAUGUUUUCAAUGGAAUCAUGAAUGCAUGGAUGAAAUUGAUCCAAUAUUGGCAGAGUCCUUCUUGGAAUUGCUUGCUUAGAUGAUAAUGCACUAUGUUUGACUAAAGAAUUACUAUUUUGCACAAAAUGUAAUGCAUCCACAUUCUCCCAAUAAGACGAAUCACGCUUUGUUGAUCUUUGAUGUUUGGUCAUCGGUUUCUUUUGAAC
This 297-nucleotide long non-coding RNA is filed under the name Glycine max (soybean). RNAcentral's name for it is "long non-coding RNA (GMAX_LNC003140)". Lineage: Eukaryota; Viridiplantae; Streptophyta; Magnoliopsida; Fabales; Fabaceae. The record is from RNAcentral.